GAAAUAUUUGUCAAAAUAUAGGUUGUUGAAGAAAAACAAACCUGUGGCUAUGGCGACGAUGGGUCGAUUGAGCAGACAGAAUGGCGAAGGAAAACGAGGA
Ipomoea nil (Japanese morning glory) is the source of this 100-nucleotide long non-coding RNA. RefSeq lists it as uncharacterized. The record is from RefSeq and is a predicted model, not a curated record. NCBI's taxonomy places the organism in Eukaryota, Viridiplantae, Streptophyta, Magnoliopsida, Solanales, Convolvulaceae. The transcript is spliced from 3 exons.